This 208-nucleotide long non-coding RNA is filed under the name Populus tremula. Its description in RNAcentral is "long non-coding RNA (PTRE_LNC001926)". Lineage: Eukaryota; Viridiplantae; Streptophyta; Magnoliopsida; Malpighiales; Salicaceae. The record is from RNAcentral.
AAACAAAAGAUAAACGAAGGAAAACCUGGUUGCAGUUUCAGAUGAAUCGAAUCCUUGAAACCAUGCUCUACAAAUGCCAUGUGGGAAUAUUUUUGCUCAUGAUCAAAGUUGCAGCUUCGAUUGAAAAUGGUUUUGUCUUCAAUGGAAAUUUCGAUCUAGGUGGUGUAGCUGAGCUCUCUCAAAAGGGUCUCUUCAGGCUCACUAACUC